This 547-nucleotide ribosomal RNA is filed under the name uncultured eukaryote. Its description in RNAcentral is "SSU rRNA". It matches the Rfam family "Eukaryotic small subunit ribosomal RNA", at positions 21 to 570 of the family's 1831-position model. The record is from RNAcentral.
UGUAGUCAUAUGCUUGUCUCAAAGAUUAAGCCAUGCAUGUCUAAGUAUAAGCAAUUAUACAGCGAAACUGCGAAUGGCUCAUUAAAUCAGUUAUCGUUUAUUUGAUAGUACCUUACUACAUGGAUAACCGUGGUAAUUCUAGAGCUAAUACAUGCUAAAAACCCCGACUUCGGAAGGGGUGUAUUUAUUAGAUUAAAAACCAAUGCCCUUCGGGGCUCCCUGGUGAUUCAUAAUAACUUCUCGAAUCGCACGGCCUUGCGCCGGCGAUGGUUCAUUCAAAUUUCUGCCCUAUCAACUUUCGACGGCAGGGUCUUGGCCUGCCAUGGUGACAACGGGUAACGGAGGGUUAGGGCUCGACCCCGGAGAAGGAGCCUGAGAAACGGCUACUACAUCCAAGGAAGGCAGCAGGCGCGCAAAUUACCCAAUCCCGACUCGGGGAGGUAGUGACAAUAAAUACUGAUACAGGGCUCUUUUGGGUCUUGUAAUUGGAAUGAGUACAAUUUAAAUCCCUUAACGAGGAACAAUUGGAGGGCAAGUCUGGUAAUCG